RNAcentral lists this long non-coding RNA (450 nucleotides) under Monodelphis domestica (gray short-tailed opossum). RNAcentral's name for it is "lncRNA (ENSMODG00000041757.1)". The record is from RNAcentral. Lineage: Eukaryota; Metazoa; Chordata; Mammalia; Didelphimorphia; Didelphidae.
CUGGGAGCCACAAGUGAGAGCUGGGUGUCAGGUAGGGGUCAGAGGCUGGAGAGCUGCCCUAGGAGGGCACGACAAGCCCUCCAUACCAAGGUGCUACCCCUCCCUGAGCACCCAAAGAAAUUAAAGCACAGGGGAAGAAAAAGAAAAGGAAAGGAAAGAACAUCAACAAGCAGGAAAGGAACCAGAGGAGAGCAUCUAGGAGAUAAGAUUAUUCAUUUGUUAUGAUGAGCCAUUUAACAGUGUAAAGGAGUUUUGUGGCAAAAAUCUCCUCUUUUGAAUCUGGGAAGAAUAUAAACUGAUGCAAAUUGGAGUGAGCCAGAACCAAAAGAAUAAUACACAGAAACAGCAAUAUUUUAACAUUGAUCAUCUGCAAAAGACUUUGCUACUCUGAUCAGUACAAUGAUCCAAGAAAAUUCUAAAAGAUUGAUAAUAAAAUGCUGUCAAAUUCCA